GCUGCGGUAGCCUAGCUUGGUCAGGGCGCCAGACUCAUAAUCUGGAGGUCGUGGGUUCGGAUCCCACUCGCAGCA
This 75-nucleotide transfer RNA is filed under the name Methanosphaerula palustris E1-9c. Its description in RNAcentral is "tRNA-Met (CAT) (tRNA-Met-CAT-1-1)". It matches the Rfam family "tRNA". From Rfam's summary of the family: Transfer RNA (tRNA) molecules are approximately 80 nucleotides in length. The record is from RNAcentral. Lineage: Archaea; Methanobacteriati; Methanobacteriota; Methanomicrobia; Methanomicrobiales; Methanoregulaceae. RNAcentral also lists the same sequence under 1 other name.